Molecule: long non-coding RNA, 1134 nt
Organism: Leopardus geoffroyi (Geoffroy's cat)
Lineage: Eukaryota; Metazoa; Chordata; Mammalia; Carnivora; Felidae
Exons: 2
Source: RefSeq, a predicted model, not a curated record
AUCGAAGCUGGGCCAGCCCCGUUUCCAGGCAGCGGGGGGAGCCGGCGGCAGGCAUAUCUCAAUAUUCCACAAGUGAGCAGCUCCUCCCAGCCUCCCCGCCGGACCCCCUGCCCCACGGUCCUCCUUUUGCCAGCUGCCCUCGGAGGACAGAAGUCACCCCAGGGGACACCAGGUGGGCAGGGUGGCCCUGAGGUUAGCUGAGGUUUAACACCCGCCUGGAGGGCAGGUGCGCCAAGCUGCUCUCCGACAAAGCACCUUCCCUGCGUGGGAAGGGCCCCUCAGCUUUCCACGGCCCCAGACAAUGCUGAGAAGCCCACUUUUUGCGAGUCGCUCAAGGUUUGGGACCCUCCUCCGCAGCUCGCAUUCAAACCACACCGUGCACACCCUGUGCGGUGGGCUGGGAGGCAGGAGACAUCAGGCCGCACAGCUGAGAACCCCUACCUGAGAACACCCUCUCUGAAGAGGGAGCAAAGAGACGCUAAGACCUGGGCCCCCUCCGUCUCCGCCCAUGCCUCCCGAAAGGGUAAGGAGGAGAAUUACCUUUCAGCCCUCCUCUGGGCCAGCCUGGACGGCUGGUGUCAUCGCCUGCAUUCCCCGGGGUGUUUGUCGGGGUAACGCUCAAGGUCAGGGUCUGGCCCGCCUCUCAUACUCAGCACUGAGGCCCCCACACCCGCGGGUUUGAUUUUGACGAGACGAGGCAGCAAAUGGGAAGACAUCACGCUCUUCCUCAGGACCUUCUCAGGUUCUUCAGUAACAAGAAACCUGAACCUUUGAAUCCUCAAGGACUUCAACUCUCCCUGAGAAAGUCUGCUGAAGAAAGCAUCUAGUCCAGCCUCCAACCGAUGAAUGAGACCCCUCUGCCGAAUCCCAGCAACGCUCUAAUCUCCUGCUGUCAGACAAGAGGCGGGGGCCACGGGGCGUGGGAAGCACAUGAGCAGAGAACGACCUGGGUUCAAGUCCUGAUUCUGCCACAUAUUCCUGCUGGUCCCUACAAAAGUCACUUCAGAUGUCUCAACCUCAAUUUCCUCAUCUCUCCCCUUCAACUGAGAUGUUUGUUCAACCCAGAAAAAAAAGUAGGUGAAGUGUCCAACAUCCGUCAUAGUACACGCUCAGCAAAGUCUAACAUUUAAAUGA